GGACCCGCACAAGUAGUGGAGCAUGUGGUUUAAUUCGAAGAUACGCGCAGAACCUUACCAACACUUGACAUGUUCGUCGCGACUUUAAGAGAUUAAAGUUUUCGGUUCGGCCGGACGAAACACAGGUGCUGCAUGGCUGUCGUCAGCUCGUGUCGUGAGAUGUUGGGUUAAGUCCCGCAACGAGCGCAACCCUCACUUUUAGUUGCCAUCAUUAAGUUGGGCACUCUGAAAGAACUGCCAGUGAUAAGCUGGAGGAAGGUGGGGAUGACGUCAAGUCCUCAUGGCCCUUACGUGUUGGGCUACACACGUGCUACAAUGGUAUCUACAACAGGAAGCAAAACAGCGAUGUUAAAGCAAAUCCCGAAAAGAUGCCUCAGUUCGGAUUGCACUCUGCAACUCGAGUGCAUG
This 408-nucleotide ribosomal RNA is filed under the name uncultured bacterium. RNAcentral's name for it is "bacterial SSU rRNA". It matches the Rfam family "Bacterial small subunit ribosomal RNA", at positions 917 to 1322 of the family's 1533-position model. The record is from RNAcentral.